AGCCAUGCGAGUCAUUGUAGUAAUACAAGGCAGACGGCUCAGUAACGCGUAGUCAACCUAACCUAUGGACGGGGAUAAUCUCGGGAAACUGAGCAUAAUACCCGAUAGAACAUUAUGCCUGGAAUGGUUUAUGUUCCAAAUGAUUUAUCGCCGUAGGAUGGGACUGCGGCCUAUCAGUUUGUUGGUGAGGUAAUGGCCCACCAAGACUAUUACAGGUACGGGCUCUGAGAGGAGUAGCCCGGAGAUGGGUACUGAGACACGGACCCAGGCCCUAUGGGGCGCAGCAGGCGAGAAAACUUUGCAAUGUGCGAAAGCACGACAAGGUUAAUCCGAGUGGUUUCUGCUAAAGGAACCUUUUGACAGUCCUAGAAACACUGUUGAAUAAGGGGUGGGCAAGUUCUGGUGUCAGCCGCCGCGGUAAAACCAGCACCUCAAGUGGUCAGGAUGAUUAUUGGGCCUAAAGCAUCCGUAGCCGGCUCUGUAAGUUUUCGGUUAAAUCUGUACGCUCAACGUACAGGCUGCCGGGAAUACUGCAGAGCUAGGGAGUGGGAGAGGUAGACGGUACUCGGUAGGAAGGGGUAAAAUCCUUUGAUCUAUUGAUGACCACCUGUGGCGAAGGCGGUCUACCAGAACACGUCCGACGGUGAGGGAUGAAAGCUGGGGGAGCAAACCGGAUUAGAUACCCGGGUAGUCCCAGCUGUAAACCAUGCAAACUCAGUGAUGCAUUGGCUUGUGGGCCAAUGCAGUGCUGCAGGGAAGCCGUUAAGUUUGCCGCCUGGGAAGUACGUACGCAAGUAUGAAACUUAAAGGAAUUGGCGGGG
RNAcentral lists this ribosomal RNA (821 nucleotides) under uncultured marine archaeon. RNAcentral's name for it is "bacterial SSU rRNA". It matches the Rfam family "Archaeal small subunit ribosomal RNA", at positions 47 to 873 of the family's 1478-position model. The record is from RNAcentral.